CCUACGGGGGGCAGCAGUGGGGAAUAUUGGACAAUGGGCGAAAGCCUGAUCCAGCCAUGCCGCGUGUGUGAAGAAGGCCUUCGGGUUGUAAAGCACUUUCAGUGGGGAAGAAAGCCUUGGGGCUAAUACCCUCGAGGAAGGACAUCACCCACAGAAGAAGCACCGGCUAACUCCGUGCCAGCAGCCGCGGUAAUACGGAGGGUGCGAGCGUUAAUCGGAAUUACUGGGCGUAAAGCGCGCGUAGGCGGUCUGAUAAGCCGGUUGUGAAAGCCCCGGGCUCAACCUGGGAACGGCAUCCGGAACUGUCAGGCUAGAGUGCAGGAGAGGAAGGUAGAAUUCCCGGUGUAGAGGUGAAAUGCGUAGAGAUCGGGAGGAAUACCAGUGGCGAAGGCGGCCUUCUGGACUGACACUGACGCUGAGGUGCGAAAGCGUGGGUAGCAAACAGGAUUAGAUACCCCGGUAGUC
This 465-nucleotide ribosomal RNA is filed under the name Vreelandella stevensii. RNAcentral's name for it is "partial 16S ribosomal RNA". It matches the Rfam family "Bacterial small subunit ribosomal RNA", at positions 338 to 795 of the family's 1533-position model. The record is from RNAcentral. Lineage: Bacteria; Pseudomonadati; Pseudomonadota; Gammaproteobacteria; Oceanospirillales; Halomonadaceae.